RNAcentral lists this transfer RNA (58 nucleotides) under Ictidomys tridecemlineatus (thirteen-lined ground squirrel). Its description in RNAcentral is "Spermophilus tridecemlineatus (thirteen-lined ground squirrel) tRNA". It matches the Rfam family "tRNA", at positions 8 to 63 of the family's 71-position model. From Rfam's summary of the family: Transfer RNA (tRNA) molecules are approximately 80 nucleotides in length. Their secondary structure includes four short double-helical elements and three loops (D, anti-codon, and T loops). Further hydrogen bonds mediate the characteristic L-shaped molecular structure. tRNAs have two regions of fundamental functional importance: the anti-codon, which is responsible for specific mRNA codon recognition, and the 3' end, to which the tRNAs corresponding amino acid is attached (by aminoacyl-tRNA synthetases). tRNAs cope with the degeneracy of the genetic code in two manners: having more than one tRNA (with a specific anti-codon) for a particular amino acid; and 'wobble' base-pairing, i.e. permitting non-standard base-pairing at the 3rd anti-codon position. The record is from Rfam by way of RNAcentral. Lineage: Eukaryota; Metazoa; Chordata; Mammalia; Rodentia; Sciuridae.
UAGCUCAGUUGAUAGAGUAUCUGCCUCGAAUGCACAAGGCCCUGGGUUCAAUCCCCAG